ACUGCGAAGGGGGGACGGAGAAGGCUAUGUUGGCCGGGCGACGGUUGUCCCGGUUUAAGCGUGUAGGUGUGUGUUCCAGGUAAAUCCGGUUCACUUUAACACUGAGGCGUGACGACGAGGCACUACGGUGCUGAAGCAACAAAUGCCCUGCUUCCAGGAAAAGCCUCUAAGCAUCAGGUAACAUCAAAUCGUACCCCAAACCGACACAGGUGGUCAGGUAGAGAAUACCAAGGCGCUUGAGAGAACUCGGGUGAAGGAACUAGGCAAAAUGGUGCCGUAACUUCGGGAGAAGGCACGCUGACACGUAGGUGAAGUGAUUUACUCAUGGAGCUGAAGUCAGUCGAAGAUACCAGCUGGCUGCAACUGUUUAUUAAAAACACAGCACUGUGCAAACACGAAAGUGGACGUAUACGGUGUGACGCCUGCCCGGUGCCGGAAGGUUAAUUGAUGGGGUCAGCGCAAGCGAAGCUCCUGAUCGAAGCCCCGGUAAACGGCGGCCGUAACUAUAACGGUCCUAAGGUAGCGAAAUUCCUUGUCGGGUAAGUUCCGACCUGCACGAAUGGCGUAAUGAUGGCCAGGCUGUCUCCACCCGAGACUCAGUGAAAUUGAACUCGCUGUGAAGAUGCAGUGUACCCGCGGCAAGACGGAAAGACCCCGUGAACCUUUACUAUAGCUUGACACUGAACAUUGAGCCUUGAUGUGUAGGAUAGGUGGGAGGCUUUGAAGUGUGGACGCCAGUCUGCAUGGAGCCGACCUUGAAAUACCACCCUUUAAUGUUUGAUGUUCUAACGUGGACCCGUAAUCCGGGUUGCGGACAGUGUCUGGUGGGUAGUUUGACUGGGGCGGUCUCCUCCUAAAGAGUAACGGAGGAGCACGAAGGUUGGCUAAUCCUGGUCGGACAUCAGGAGGUUAGUGCAAUGGCAUAAGCCAGCUUGACUGCGAGCGUGACGGCGCGAGCAGGUGCGAAAGCAGGUCAUAGUGAUCCGGUGGUUCUGAAUGGAAGGGCCAUCGCUCAACGGAUAAAAGGUACUCCGGGGAUAACAGGCUGAUACCGCCCAAGAGUUCAUAUCGACGGCGGUGUUUGGCACCUCGAUGUCGGCUCAUCACAUCCUGGGGCUGAAGUAGGUCCCAAGGGUAUGGCUGUUCGCCAUUUAAAGUGGUACGCGAGCUGGGUUUAGAACGUCGUGAGACAGUUCGGUCCCUAUCUGCCGUGGGCGCUGGAGAACUGAGGGGGGCUGCUCCUAGUACGAGAGGACCGGAGUGGACGCAUCACUGGUGUUCGGGUUGUCAUGCCAAUGGCACUGCCCGGUAGCUAAAUGCGGAAGAGAUAAGUGCUGAAAGCAUCUAAGCACGAAACUUGCCCCGA
Molecule: ribosomal RNA, 1366 nt
Filed under: Salmonella enterica
Lineage: Bacteria; Pseudomonadati; Pseudomonadota; Gammaproteobacteria; Enterobacterales; Enterobacteriaceae
Description: partial 23S ribosomal RNA
Rfam family: Bacterial large subunit ribosomal RNA
Source: RNAcentral